GGCUAGAUGGCUGAGUGGUUAAGGUGCUAGUUUCAGGUUUUGUCUCACCUACUAGCCUGGAUAGGUGUGGGUUCAAAUCCCACUCCAAUCA
This is a non-coding RNA of Favolaschia claudopus, 91 nucleotides long. The record is from the annotation of a GenBank genome assembly. NCBI's taxonomy places the organism in Eukaryota, Fungi, Basidiomycota, Agaricomycetes, Agaricales, Mycenaceae.